This is a long non-coding RNA of Nymphaea colorata (pocket water lily), 1216 nucleotides long. RefSeq lists it as uncharacterized. NCBI's taxonomy places the organism in Eukaryota, Viridiplantae, Streptophyta, Magnoliopsida, Nymphaeales, Nymphaeaceae. The transcript is spliced from 3 exons. The record is from RefSeq and is a predicted model, not a curated record.
UUUCCCCCUUGUGCCUCUUUGCGUCUUUUCAUCUGUUUCCGCCUCGGCCUGUACCCGCGACCGCCAUUCGUAGCAGCAAACAGAAGGAUCGUCCUCUAUCGCCAGGCGUUCACAUCUUCAACAGCAUUGACGGCUCCCUCUACUUACACAACAGGCUUCCUAUUCUCAGACCGUCUCAAAAAUCCCCCUCUCACGUCCCUCUCUCUCUCUCUCUCUCAUGCAUUUUUUAUUUCUGAUAUUCUGGUAGGCCUCUUUAACAUAUAUUUUCCUGGCUUAAGAUUUUCCCUAGGUUUUCCCUGUUACAAAAAAAUGUUGGGCCGUUGGUAGGCAUUUGGUGGUUAUGCCUUUGAUUAUAUGCGUCUUCCCUGUUAGAGUGUUAUGUGGGGUUUCUUCUUCUAGGUAAAUUGUAUCUGGUGUUGGUAUUUGAUCUAAUUUAUAAUUCUCUCCCUUCAGAGUAUCUUUCCUGAGCCCAUAUGCAAAGAGGGGAAGCCUGUUGUCAGGUGAUUGUAGCCAUGGAUCCUGCGUCUCGCAUGAGAAGAGACCUAACGAUUAGUCCCCACAAGGGGGUUGUGGUUUCUUCUCCUCUUAUCAUAAUGAUUGUCCGACCAUAUUAUUUGUAUGACAAGUGUGGCUUCCUUCUCCAAUGUCGAAAUGUUUUGUAUGUUUUGUGUUCUGCUUGAAGUCUCUAACCAGUAAGGCAGUAACCUCUCUACAAGAAGAGGUGGACAGCAAAAGGUGAGGAAAAGAGAAAAAAAUGCGGUAAGAACUGAGAAAAGCUAACUGACGCCCAAAGGUAGAGGGGGUGAGACAAGGUGACCAUUGCAUUGUUGUGAAUAGUCUACCUGGUACUGCUCUGUUUUGGUUCAGUGUUUCGAUCAUUCAUAAUCAUCACCUUUUCAGUAAACAUUUGAUUUUUCAUUGUAUUUCUUUCUUGUUCUGGAGUUUGAUAGGGAACGAAUGGAGUCUAUGGGAGAUGUUAAGAGUCAACGCAUUAUUAUUUUGGGCAAUGGUUUUGCAGAAUGAAACCUGAUAUAAACCAAUUGAGCCCAAGGAUUGUGUCCAUUACUACACAGCAGAAGGAAGUGGCAGAACAAAACAAAUUCUCUGAAGAACAUAUUAGCAAGGCAGUUACAAUAGUGAAGCAAGUUUGAUCAUCUGGGAAUAUAAAUUCUUGAAGAACAUAUUAGCAAGGCAGUUAAAAUAGUAAAGUUUGAUC